Molecule: non-coding RNA, 63 nt
Organism: Rattus norvegicus (Norway rat)
Lineage: Eukaryota; Metazoa; Chordata; Mammalia; Rodentia; Muridae
Source: Rfam
GGGGACUUAGCUCAGUGGUAGAGCGCUUGCCUAGCAAGCGCAAGGCCCUGGGUUCGGUCCCCA